Non-coding RNA from Camellia sinensis, 696 nucleotides. NCBI's taxonomy places the organism in Eukaryota, Viridiplantae, Streptophyta, Magnoliopsida, Ericales, Theaceae. The record is from RefSeq and is a predicted model, not a curated record.
CUCUCUUUUGUGCCCCUCCUUUCUAGCCUUUGCUAGUGGCUAGCCUUCCUCCUCCCUUCGGCCUCCGUCGAUCGGUAAAAUCUCCUCAACAAUGCGGCGAUGGUGCACCAAACUUCGAUUACUGGCCCUCCAUUACUCCAUUACUCUACCCAGAAACCAACCCAGCUCUCUGUCAUCAUCAUUAUGAUCAUCAUCAUCAUCAUCUUCUCAUCGUUUCCUUCACUCUUCUCCUCAGCUUCUUCACAACCCCCUUUAUUAUCCUUGAUUUUUUUUUCAAAUUUUAAGUCCCUUUUCAGUGCCUUUUUAGCGUCACAUCAUCCUUUUUGCUCAAUCAGUUCUCUCGCCUCUGCUUCCCCACAUCUCUUGGCAGUGGGAGGAUGAGGGCUAGCUGCUGGCGGUGGUAGCCGGCGAAGAGGUGAAAGAAAAGAGGGUGGGUUUGUGUAUAAAAUUGUGGAUUUGUAUCUUUCUUUUGAAAUUUAAAUUUUAGGUUAAAAUGUAAUUUUUUUUUGACUUUUUCCAUUUAAAUUUGACGGUACAGGCAAAUUGAUAUGAUUUUAAAAAAUUUGAAAGUAAAAUUAAAAUUAUUCAAAGUUUGGAGAUAUUAUAAUUGAUCAUCGAGACAAAAAUAAAAUUUUCUUGUAGAUUAUGGUACCUUUUUUAGUGCUGUAACCAAGAGGGAAAAAGAAAAAAAAAAAA